GACGAACGCUGGCGGCGUGCUUAACACAUGCAAGUCGAACGGAGUGGCGAACGGGUGAGUAACACGUGGGUGAUCUGCCUUGCACUUCGGGAUCAGCUGGGGAAACGGGGUCUAAUACCGGAUAGUGCAAGAUGAGCUCGAGUCCUAUCAGCUUGUUGGUGGGGUAAUGGCCUACCAAGGCGUCGACGGGUAGCCGGCCUGAGAGGGUGUACGGCCACUUUGGGACUGAGAUACGGCCCAGACUCCGACGGGAGGCAGCAGUGGGGAAUAUUGCACAACGGGCGGAAGCCUGAUGCAGCGACGCCGCGUGGGGGAUGAAGGCCUUCGGGUUGUAAACUCCUUUCGAUAGGGACGCGGUACCUGGAUAAGAAGCACCGGCUAACUACGUGCCAGCAGCCGCGGUAAUUC
Molecule: ribosomal RNA, 408 nt
Filed under: uncultured bacterium
Lineage: Bacteria
Description: partial 16S ribosomal RNA
Rfam family: Bacterial small subunit ribosomal RNA
Source: RNAcentral